This 455-nucleotide ribosomal RNA is filed under the name uncultured bacterium. RNAcentral's name for it is "bacterial SSU rRNA". It matches the Rfam family "Bacterial small subunit ribosomal RNA", at positions 355 to 824 of the family's 1533-position model. The record is from RNAcentral.
UGGGGAAUCUUGGACAAUGGGGGCAACCCUGAUCCAGCCAUGCCGCGUGAGUGAUGAAGGCCUUAGGGUCGUAAAGCUCUUUCGCCUGUGAAGAUAAUGACGGUAGCAGGUAAAGAAACCCCGGCUAACUCCGUGCCAGCAGCCGCGGUGACACGUAGGCACCAAGCGUUAUCCGGAUUUAUUGGGCGUAAAGAGCUCGUAGGCGGUUCGGUAAGUCGGGUGUGAAAUCCAAGGCUCAACCUUGGGACGCCACCCGAUACUGCUGUGACUCGAGUGCAGUAGGGGGAGCAGGGAAUUCCUGGUGUAGCGGUGAAAUGCGCAGAUAUCAGGAGGAACACCAGUGGCGAAGGCGCUGCUCUGGGCUGUAACUGACGCUGAGGUGCGAAAGUGUGGGGAGCAAAACAGGAUUGAGAUACCCUGGUAGUCCACACCGUAAACGAUGAAUGCCAGUCGUC